CCACGUGACGCGCGCGCGCCCCGCCCCGCCCCGCGGAGACGUUAAAUGGAGGCGGGGGGAGGAGAGGCGGUAUGUUGCCCGUUAGUCGGCGUCGCAGGUACGAAACGGCUCCGCAGAGUCGGGGAGGGAGCAGUCACGCCGCUGUCACCCCUUUUUUUCCUCAGCGGGUUGGCAAAACCCCCCAUCUCUUAAAGGUUUUUCUGGCUCCAAGAGGACGAGGGCAGAGGUGGGCGCCCCGAGGAGCUCCUGGGAGCCUGCAGGAGAUUUAUGUCCCUGCUUCCUUCAAGGUAGAAGGACUCAAAACACCCCAAAGCAAUUUCUUGGCUUGCCGCUCCAGGCCUGUGUCCUGUUAUCGUCACUUUGAUGAUGAUUUACGGAGCUUAAAUAAGAAGCGCAGUCCUUUGGCAGUUUUUUUUUUCCUUCAAACUGAAAGCCUCUAAUCUUCUAGAUAUUUUUAUCGGAGCUUUCUAAAAUAGUUGUACAUACAUCACAUAAAUAAAUCAUUGCAGGCCUGGAGUCUGAAUUAGCUAAAAGAAGAACAGGAGGAAACUGAAGAGAGAACAGCAGAUAGCGCAUCCAUCGGCUGAGAUGAGCAAGAAGAAUAAGCACUGAAGGCUAGGCAAGGCCUGAAAAGUAAAGAUGAGGACUGCUUACUUAAAGAGAAAAGUUUCAAGGAGCAGCAAGGUCAGCUAGAGGAAGAAAUACUGCCUUGGACCGGUAGAAGGAGGUAAGUGUGAAAGUCAUCGGCAUUGAAGAGACUGAAUGAAGUCACCGAGAGGCCAACGCAGAGGGAGGAGAAAGAAGAAUAAAAGAAGUGUACCAAAGACAGAAACCAGCAGAGUGAGUUUUUCUUGUAUUUGCAUAAGUUAGCACCUGUAUUACUCGCAGCUGGAAGGGAGUAUGUGUGUGCAGUGGGGGGUGGGGGACCUUCAUUCCCUGGAAACACAAGGGUUACUGUUUUACAUAUGAACUAGGCCUGUUGACAGAAAAUGACUCCAGUUUUAUGCUAAUGCUCAAGCACUUACACUGCUGAUGCUAUUGAAAGUAGCAUUUCCAUCAGGGAAGGACUUACAGUUUUUCUUUGAUUUCCCGGCAGGAUAUCAGCUAAUCUCCAUCAUAAUAUGAUAGUUAUAGUUCAUUGUUUCCUUCAAGUGAGCCUGAAGAAAGAGUGAUACAUGGACCUAAAUGCCAUGCAAUGCCUUUUCUACCUAGCUGUAGUGUUUGGUUAUCAAGACUGAGUGUGUUAAUGUAGAGCUGCUAUAGUAUAAAAGUUUCUUGACAGAAAUUUGGAACAACAUAUUAAUAAAUUGUAAAACUACAUUCUUUUAUACAAUGUUUCUAAAAUAAUGACAAGGUUAUUUCGCUAAAGAGAAAAUGUGUAUGUUAAUACUGUUAGAUAUAUGACUAUAAAUCGUAUUACAUAAGAAAUCACAAACCACAAACACCAGCCCAGAGUUAUAGGCAGGGAGAUAGAUAUACAAAGUAGUUUAGCCCGCUAAAUGAACUAAGUAUCAAUAUAUCACAGACACAGUGUUUCCCUGAAUGUUGCAGGAGUGGAUCAUCUCCUAAUAAAAUAAUAAUGGAAGUUGAGUGUAAUAAAAGUUAAGUGACAGCUGUUUUUAAGUUUAACUUCUUUUAAGUAGUUGCAGUAGAGGCAGAGUAGACUGAAACCUUCAUCAUUUGAUGUCCAUAAUCACAGGAUAAAGUCAGUCUAUCCAGCUGUUUGCAUUUCAGGUAAAUGAGAUAAAUCUAUUUGUCCUGAGACCAGCCUUUGAGACUUGUACAGUUUUCUCUUUAAACUGAUCCUUGCUGCUUUUUUUCUAUUCUUUGUCUAGGAAAGAUGCAUUGAAGGUUGUGCAUUUUAUCCUUUUGUAACAAAAAGGAGCUUUGUAACAUUGUUUUGUGAGAUAACAAAAGAAUGUUUAAAUAGGUAUUUUUAAUAAUAUUUUGGUGUCUCAUGAUACUUAGUAUUCAGGGCUUUUCUGAAAGGUCUCUCAGUGACAAGAGAAACCUUCAAUAGAUCCUGCUAACUACAUAUGUUAUUUUAAUGUGUAUUAUGUACACAUAUUAAGAUGUUUAUUUAAAAGUCAUAUUAGAUACGUAUGUGAUUCAGAAUGUUAGCUGAAAAUAUUUUCACUCCUGUCAUGCUAGUGAGGAAUGCUUUGGUUUCAAAUACAGAAGUUACGUACCAUGUAGGAACUGAGCUUCAGCUGGCUUUAACCCAACCAGAACAGCAUUUCAUAACUGUUGAGUGCCUGUAACCAGUAAUGAGACUUUUAACUUAAAAAUGCAUUUUACUGAAACACAAGCUAAUACAAUUUUUUACUCUAUGGAGGCAAAUUAUGGAAAUCGUUCUUCUUUCAUUAAGAAAGCUGGCAAAAUUUUACAUUAAAAUACUGUACACAAUCUGUGCAGCAUACCAGUCUGGGACAGUGCAUGAAUUUCUGUUGCUCAUUCCUCCCUGUAAAUGAACUGUCUUCCUCCAGAAAAAUAAUAACAAAUUCUUUACAGAGGACAAAUGUGCCAUGGUUAGGAGACACUCAGGCACAGAUUUGAGUUUUUAUGGUGACACUUAAAUGGUAAUUGUCUGCCUAAGGUCCAAGAAGUGAUCCUCAGAACUGCAGCAUGUGGUGCUGCCCAGGGGUAUGGUUUCACAGUCUGAUUCCCCUAGCAGCUUGCUGACACUGAGAGGAGGAGGUCUUCCUCUCCUUCCCUCCUUUCCUGCUUCAUCCUCCCACUCCCAGCAGUGCAGGCUGCCCUUCCACCAUCUCUGGCCACGAGGUGGGCUGUAAAUUCGCUCAUCCGAUUAAAAAAAAAGUUUGCUUUUUCUCCAGGUCACUUUUCUGUAAUUUCAUUGAGCUGAGCCUUCCAUCAAAUAAGUGAUGGCUCAAAGCAAGCAGCAGUAGUAUGCAGCCAGAAGUGGCUGGGGAAGGAAGGAGAUGAUAAGAAAGAGCAGGAAACUUUAUCUUUUGGUGAUGAGACAUUGACUUGGCUUGUGUCAUGCUUGAAGUGUAGAAAUCUCUGUAGAGUCCAGGAGUGCUCAAAGAUAUACCUACAUUCACAGUAGCAGGCUCCUCUGCCUGUGUUCUAGCUUAGCCAGAAUCAGGCCAGCUCUGAUGCAGAACUCUGUUAGCUAAUAUACUCUGCCUCUUAAUGAAACUUUCCUUUUUUUGCUGCUGUUUAACUAAUUUAAUGCUAUACAAUGCUUAAUGACAAUAUCACUUUUUUAAGGCCAAGUUUCUCUUUCGCAGCUUUCUGUGAUAUGCUCACAAUUAAAACCAAUGUAUCAAUCACAAAUCCAGAGCCAGAAAAAUACUCCAACUCACACUUAUUUAUUUGUUCAUCUGAGCUUGAAUGUGUCUGCAUUUUCCAUCUGAAUAUAAAGGUUUAAAAGAAGACAGUGUCUCUUCCUACAACCCCUUUUUUUUCUUGAAUGGCAAGUGCUGACUUAGGAAUAGUUUCUUGUCGUUGCUGGGACUGUGAAGCAGUCCCAGAAGAAUGGGGAGGCUUCUGAGGAGGAUUUCAAAAAUCAGCAAAUUAAGGGAGCAUUUUCUACACAGGAUAGAUGGCAUUUUUAGUCAUAAAGACAGGAAAAUAAAUACAGAUAAAGCCUAUAGAGAAGGUGAGCAUAUAACAGGGACAAUAUUGUGGUUUGUUUAAGACUUAGUUCAGACUGUGAGUGCUAUGAAUGAAUGGAAUGUCUUUAUCAUUGAAUACACCAAAUAGUAACUUUUUUGUUGCUUAGUGUGUUAUUAUCCCCCAUGUUAAUGGAAAAUUAUCAGCCAGUGUAUCUGUUGAUUGUAAUUGAGUAUUUUGUAUGUUGUGUACAUACAAGAUUGAUCAGCAGCACUGUCCAGGCAGAAGGCUAUGUGGUAUUUUACAGUUUUAACAGUGCCACAGAUGUUAAAUACCAGGAUAGUAGUACUCAGGGUCCUUGUGCAUGAGACAGCAGGUGUUACUGAAUGGGGUAAUUCUUUAUAGCACCAGCAGUUGCUGCCUGUACUGUUUGCAUCCUUUUUAUUGCAGGUAAAAAGGCUACAAGGCUUUCACAAGGUUUUCUUUCUAUGCUGCUACCUUCCAUAGAGGGCAUUGCUCCUGUCUUUUCCCCUUCCAUAAUAGGUGAUGCUUGGCUUUGGUCUUGUCUUGACUCUUCCUUCAUGUUUAAGCAGCAAUUUUUUUUUUUCUUGUAUUAAAAAGCUUUCAGCUAAAUUUGCAAAUUUUUUUCAGCAAAAUCUUUGGUAUGCUUCAGUGCAGUUUUUGAUGGAUUGAAAAGAAUCAGGGAAGAGGAGUUAAGUCAGAUGCACAUGCUGCAUACAGCAAGCUGAUCAGUGGCUUCAGCUGUUGUUGACUGAAGAAAGCAGUGGAAGGUACCGCAUGCAGUUAACUCUGCAAGUCUGAGAUUACAGCUUGAUUGCUGAUAGUGGACAAAAAAGAAUUGUAUUUCAAUUCAUAGUAGUACCUUAUUUUGGAACUAUCACAUUAUUACAAAUAGUUUGAACAUAUCUUUGUGGUUAGUUUUCCGUGGCUAACCCUUAAACAUUUCCAGACCUUUUGUUGAAAAAUAGUAAACAAUUAGCCUUACGCUGAGAAAAUCAAUCUUCGAGAUUCACUAAAAACUGUGUUUCAGAGAUUUUCAGACAUUCUCUUUUGAAUAUUAAUGUUUCAGAGAUAAAAACAUUCAAAUAAUUUGAAUACAUCAGAUGAAGUUUGAAGUUCAGGCCAAAGCUGAACUGGGAUUGAUUAGCUACCAAAUUCUAAGAAGAAUGAAAAAUAAAAUUACUGCAGCUUCUUUCUUUAUCAAGCACUGAUGGGCAGUAGGUAUCUACUUACUGAAUGUGGAUAUAGCACCUUUGUGUAGGCUUUGUAUGUGCCGGACAGUGGUACCUUCCAAAAACAGUAAUGGGUAAGUAAAUCAGAUGUUACGUGGUAGUAACAAGAGUCUUGGCUAGGCCUAUUAUUUAUCACUGACCUUUUGUUGGUUGCAAUUAUGAUUCCGACCAAAGCAGAAAGUUGCAGUUGCAUAACAUAUUUGAUUCUGCAUUUAAUUUGGCAUGUGGCCUCUUUAAGCAUAAAGCUAGACAUUCACAAAUGUGUAACCAGGGAAGAAAGGGCUGCCUUUCAAAGGACACACCUCAUCUUGGAGCCUCGGAACAGAUCCUUUCUUUCUUUGAAUUUCUUUACAUACACAUAUCUGUGCAUUUAUUCAGUGGAGAGCCUAGGUAAACUCACAAUCAAAUGAAGCAAAGUCUUUAGGACUCUCUGGGAUAUUAACUGUGAUUUUUCACACAGAACAUUUACUUAAUCAUGGUACUUCUUCUGACAUUACAGGAGAUGACUGACCUGAGAGGGAAGUCAUCAUUUCCUUCACUUUGCCUAACCCUGUCUCUGGCUGUGUGGUUCUACACUUUAAGACACCAGCACUGGUGCUUAAGCUGAUUCAACUCAAGUCCAUGAGAAAACUCUACCUUUCUUCUCAGUGAGUGCAUUGAAUUGAUUCGCCGAGGGAUCUAGUGAGCACCAGAAUGAGCAAGCAUUUCUGUAGUCUAGGUGCCAUGCAAAGAGGAGCUGAAGACUCUGAAAGCAGGAGAGAUAAGAGGAGCUAAAGGCCUUGCUGUUGCAAUGAAGAGAAUAUGGAAGCUAUUUAAGAAGAAUGGCUUUUGAGAGUGGGAAGGGACUGAGUGACUGGGAGCCAUAUAAAAAGAAAAAGUGAGUGUGUGCAAUAGGAGAUUAUGAAUAGGCACAGAAUAAGGAAUAAGAGAAGGAAAAAAGUUCAGUAACAAAUGAUAGGUAGAAAAAUAGGGAAGAAAAAUCAGAAGGAAAGGAAAGCUUCAAUGAAAAGCAAAAAGGAGGUAAUGUAAUUGUAUAUUUUUUCAACACAGACAAUCUACUGCAUCAAGAAUAGCUUAAAAUACGCUUGAUACCAUUUUGUUAUUUUCCAUAUAAGCAAUUAAUGAGUUACCAUUAUGAAGUUAUUUGAAAGAGAAAGUACUAUAUGAUAAGAUAGAAGAAAAGCAUCCACAUGGUGAGAAUUCUGGGGGCUUGCUUCUACUUGAGUGAAUAGCAAACUCCAAUUUAAAACUGAUAUAAAUAGUAUCGCUUACUUUUUUGGUACAUCAUAAUACCUACUAUUCACAACGGGAAAUAGCCUGUUGCUGACACUUUGGUAUUUUGUCAAAUUAAUCAGGUAAUUUGUCAAGUUAUCCAGUUUUGCUUCAGAUAAGGGUAGCUGUUUCUGAAGUUUUAAAGUAUAUGGGCUGGUUUUCUAUUAAACAGAUGCUGAGAUUAAAAGUUAGGUGAGAAAUUUUAUUAAUCUGAGUUCUGACUAGCUUUUUUUAAUCACUGUAACUACUGUAAGAGAAUGCUGUAAGUCACGUGCAAAUAGAGCAAAUUUCUAGAAUUGUUGAAAUCCAGUGGAUAUGAACCCCUUAUUUUCUGCAGCUGCAAACUGCAGUUAAAAUCCUAAUAUUGUAAACAGAUGACAUACAAGGCAUUUUCAAAGAACUUGGAUCCUAUUUUAUCAAGAUUUUUAAUGAGAAUGAAGCAUCUACAUUCCACCAGCUGCAUUCCAAAUCUCAGAUCAGUUGGCUGAUAAAAAGGUUUAUUUGAUGUUCGAAUAUAGAAGGAGAUUCUGCUCUUCUUUGAGGAGGGUUUAACUAGCAAGCUCAUGUCAUCUCAUAUGGUUGGCAGAAAAAGCACAAAUAUGACUACUGUCUUCCUGCUAUGGACAAAACAGUGUGGCUUGAUUUAGUGUAAUCAGGCACUUAAUUUAUUUGCUAACUUUUUUCCUCUGAGGAUGCUAUGCAACAUGCAGUACCCUAGAACCUGUUUAAAAUGUGCAAUUUGAGGAGUAACGCUCUACCCACAAUACACUGAUAAUACAGUUUGUGUAUCAGUUGUGUGGAAAGGAUGGGUACAGGCACUGCAGGGCCACCUAGAACUGUUCUACAUAAUGCCCUUGCCAGAGGAAGUCACAUUUCCCACAGACAUUUCCACAGGCAAAUUUUAGCCUUUCUGUGCCAUCUGCGUGCACAGUUAAGACUCUGAACCUACUAAUGUAAUUCUCUGCACCAGACAGAAGUUGUGGUCUUGAAAAGUGGUUUAUUUAUGAAUUAAUCCCAUGUAAAUUAGAAAUUUGUUUUAGAAAAUUAAAGUACAAUUGAAUGUGUGUUCAUAGUAAGUUUAAAUGUCAGCGUGCUACAGGAAUGUGUUUAAAUUGGCCAACAAGUUCAGAAAUUACUAGUGGAGAUAGACAAGAGUCUCUAGAAAACCACAGACAAAAUGGCAGCAUUAGUACUCUCAUUCUUUUCUCUGUUCUACAUUUUAGACUUGGUUUGGGCUUCCUUUAUGCCAGCCAUUCACCUUAUUGGCUAAAAUUUCACAUUCAAUCUACUGAAUGCAAGUAGCUACUUCUGGUGAAGCUUAAGGUAGCCUUAACAGAAGAGUAAAACCUAAUAAAUACAUAGUAGUAGGGCUUAACAGAAAAGCUGUCUGCAUUAGCGAUGCUACAUUAUUAGCUGUACCUAGCUGCCCUCAUCUGUCCUUCCUGCCUCUCUGCGGAAGUUUAUUCUCAUUGCAUAUGUACCUGCACUUCAGACUGAAAUCACCACUACCAAAAGCAAAGUCCUGUUUCCCAUUUUGCUAUUUCAUGCCUGUUCUGGUACUCAUUGCAAUCCCAUGUGAUCUUGCUCAUUUCACUAAACCUGCAAGAAACAGGAUAUUUUUCUGCAGUGUUUAGUUGGUUACAUCUUCUCAACAAAAGGUCUGCUGAGAGUUGAGGAAGACUGAGGGGUACAAUACCUGUUUCAAUUGGCUUUUCUUGAGUCUUCAGUGACUGUGGCUCGCAAUUCAGAACCUUAGUUCAAAUUCACACACAUCAGAUGCUUAAGCGAAACAGAGCAGUAAAGUAGGGAACUGUUGUCAAGAGCAGAAAUUGGCAACAUUAAAAGAAAACAAACUGUGACCUUUCUUCUCCAUUGGUGCUAUAAGGCAUGAAGAAGAGUUUGCUAUUACCAACUUUAUAAAAACAUUUUCAAAAGGGUUGUAAAUCUUCUUUUUAACUUUCUAUUAUAGGCUGAAUUAGCAUUUUGUUAUGAUUAACUUCUGCAAAUAUUUAUUGAAAAUUGUUUUGCAAGAUAAUAUAGAGACUGGCAGAGCUUUAAGUAUUGCUAAAAGAAAAAAAAAAAAACUCUCCAAACUGCAGCACUUAACAUGAAGGUAGGAUUAAAAUGUAACCAGUGACAAGUGCAUUCAAAAGGCUCUAUCAGAUGAGUAGAAGGAGAAACAAAAUGUUAGUUCUUGUUACUUCUUAUUAACUGUUUACACAAUUCAGGAAUGGCUGAAAGUAGUCAGAAGUUACUACCUGAAUAAAGAGCACGGUAUUUGGGAAGAUAUGCUUAAGAUUUUUGAAGGGAAAAUAUAUAGGUUUUUGACUAUAAACUUGUACGUGAUAGGAAUGAAUUAAGAGACAUUUAAGAUAUAGCUAGAACAAGUUUGAAAUGUUUGAAAAAUAGGUGUUAAACCUGAGGAUUCCUUCCUGUUCUCUAUACUACAUGGAACAAGUGAGGACAGCUGCAGUAAAACUUUUCUUGGCAGAUAAGAUUGUAGAUAGAAAAGCUUAAAAAUAUAUAUGUAAAAGACAAGCUUUAAAUGAACAUGAAAUCAAGUCACAGGAUCACUAAUUAAGCAGUGUCAUUAAUAACCUCCUACAGGUUAUUGAUGCAGCUUAUUCAAGGCUGGUAAUCUAAGGAAAGACAAGGAAUCUUCCUGUGCUGUCCAAAUUACAAGUAUGCAGAUUAGUCUCACUAACGAAUUCUACUUUAUGUGAAUAAGUGUCAUUAAGACAAUAGAAUAUUCUAUAAAUCAAAUUUGGCAACAACACUGCAGUAUAUGUACUUUAAAUGACAGAGCAUUAUAGUUUUUAUUACCUGAAGUGAUUAUUUUAUUUUGGCUCCAAUACCAGUUCAAUUGAGGCCAACAGAAAGUUUGCCACAGACCUUGACAGGAUGAGGAUCAAACUCACGACAGGUUCAUGACUCUCACUUCCCUGAACUGGAGUGUGGAAGCGCACUUCCAUGUGGCACUUCAUUUUUUGCUCUUCUGAAGAAAUCACAAACUAAUACUAAAAAUAUGUAAUGUUUAUAAUACUAUUCAUUAGAGGAUUUGAGAAAUUUUACAUAAAUAGUAGGCAUUCUUACCUAACUGAAACAAACAGAAAGGUUAAGCGAUUUAUUUUUCAGUUGACAGAACCGGAGACAGCUUUUCUGACCUUCGGUUAUUUGCUAUAAUUUAUAAGCUAUCCUGUCUAGUUAUAUAUUAAAUCACACAUUUCAUAACCUGAUUUAUAAAAAGGGGCAUGCUCCAAACAUCUAUGAUGAUGAAAGGUUAAUACAGAAAGUAAGUUUUGGGAAAUAAAUAAAAACUGGGUAAUAGCAUUAAGUACCCUGUCAUGUUUAAAUGAGUUCUGAGUGAACAGAAUCAAAGUACUACAUAAUAUCUCCCAUUGUUUGGUUUAGGCAUUUUUGUUUUCAACUGUCAUAGUAGUUAAUUAACUUAAAAUCAACUGCUUUUCCUACUAGCCCUUGAAAAGAAAGUCAUGAAAGUCAAAACACUAAUAUUUUAACUCUGUAUACAAAUUAGAUUAAACAUUGCUGCUUUGUUCCUCCAAAAACUACCUCCCCUUCACACCAAAGGAGAUGUGCAUUUGAUGUCCACGAUAUUCUAAUAGCAUCCACAUUUUGAAAUCUAAGAACAUGUAAAACUUAGAAAUGUGAUGAUACUUAUUAACUUACAAAAUACCAUAGUUCACCUCUUUUUGAUUUCUUUUUUCCUCUGCUAUCUCUGAUGAAUCAGAAGCUCUAAAAAGAGACAAGAUACACAGCAAGAGUGGUUUUUGAGCCAGGAGUCAUUUUAUAAAAUAAAACAAACCCAGCCCAAAUAACUGCUGUUCAAGGGAAUUUUUUCCCUAUACCAAGGGAGAGAAGCUUAAGUUAUGUUUAAGUUAACAGGAUUUUUAACCUUGUUCCGUAAUUAUAUAUAAUGAAGAGAAUGUGUCCUGCAAAUUGUGAUGUUUCAUGCAAACAGUAUUUGAGUUUCAAUCAGUGGAUGUUUUGAGUAUCUUCAGGGUCCAAAGUUCAGAUUCUUUGACCACAUUUGAAGUGGUAUACCUUACAGAAGGAACAGUUUCCUGCCAAAAAAAGCUACACUAUUUGUAUUAAACAGCUACAGGAUCUUAAUUUAUUUUUUUUAAAUGAAUGUCAAGAUUGCAUGGAAUCAUUUGCAAAUGAUUCAGAGGAAGGUAAAAGUAGGAAGAAUCAAACUUAAAGUGAUUUAAAAAAAUUCUGUACCAUUUAUUUUAUUUAAAAUGUGAUUUUUCCAAAUGUAUACAUCAUUGUAAUAACAUUUAAAAAAUUGUGAACUCUUACAAACCCUAUAACAUCCAUUUCCUUGAAAGCUCUCCUAUCAUUCCCAUUAAAUUAGUCAUUUUUCAGUCCCAAGAAAAAUGGAGAGAAAGUGAGCUCUGUAGCUUGAGCUGCUGAUUAGCACAUUGAAAACUUGAGUUACCUAAAUGAAAAGGAAAUAGGGGAGAACUGUUCCACCUCCAAGGCAAUCUUAUAAUCUCAUAGCUUCAUCAUAACCCUGCAUUUCAGUUAUAAAAGUGAUCUCACACAAUGCACUUAACUCAUUUCAGUCUUACAGUGUAGCAACCUUGAAGAACUUCAAAACACUUUUAGAAGAAGGGCAAAAAUGGAAGGGCUGAGUCCCAGGCUGCAGGUGGGAAUUCCCCCAUCUGCCAACAGGAAAGAAAUUGCAAAGCAGUUUAAAUGACUUGUCAUUUAGCCAAAUCUGAUGGUGAAGCUUUAGGAAUAAGAAAACAGUUCUGUGUCCACUGAUGUCAGCUGCGCUCUAUGUAUUUUUCAAAGGGCAGGACUUGCAAAAUGUAACACUUCUAAUAUACCUGCUUAUCUUCCAAGGUUAGAGAAUUUUCAUCUCUACAAAAGCAUUAAAAGAUUAAAAACCUCACCACAAUCAUCUAUAUCUAUUUCAAUAGCACUGGAGGUUAUAGCAUGUUAAAAAAAAAAUUAGUAAAAUGUUACAUAUAAUAUUCAGCCUUUACAUUAAAAGUGCGUUUAGCCACAACUCUGUUCUAGGUGUCCAACUAUAGCAACCUUAACGCAGAAAUCACCAGCCCAGCAUGUUGCCUGUGAGACCCUCCAAUGUGAGGAGGCGGUAAAGGAACAGUGAUGUUUUUGUAUGCCAUACAACACUGGGAACUGUUAUUUCAAUAUGACUUAAAAUUAAGGGUGGCUAUAAUUGAAGAUCCAGAAAUUGUGUUGAUAAAGUUAACCAGUAACUCUCUGAAGUUCUUAACUGUAGCUCUGUGGAUACUGAAUAUUUAUUUAAUAGCAUGUCUCAUUCUACUUAAAGGUAUUACUUUGUUAUCCUGGUAGGGCAAUACAUGCUUAUGCAGAGUAUUGCUGUGGGCUAGUUUGCCUUUUUAUUCCACUAACCAAAUAUCUGCUUUUUCCACAUUUAAACUUUUAAACUGCAAGAGGAAGGUCAUCUGUGGAACUUGUGUAAUUUCCAGAUAAAGUAUACCAAGUGUGGUUUUAACAAGGCACAUUCUCUAGCUAUUUGCUUAAAAAAAAAAAUGAAUAAAAGAAACCUACACUCACCUCCCCGCAAAUACCCACCACACUGGAUUUGUCCAGCACUAAAUACAAUGUUGAAGUGUGUAUCAAACAAAUGUUUGAAAAAGGUAAAAUUUAAAUGGAUAAUAUGGGCAAAUAGUAAUAUGGUUUCUUUUCAUCCAAAAUAAUAAUGACAAAAAUACACAAAUUGAGUAGUUUGUUAUCCAACGCUGGCUAAAACAAAUCAAUAUAAUCCAGAAGCAAUAAUACACACACAGUUGAAAGAUCAACCCAUGAAAUAAUUUUCAUAUUCAAAUCUAUUACUAGAAUGAAAACAAAAUCCACAUGGCAAUGAAGGGAAUAUAUCAAAUAAUCAAGUAGAUUUAUCAUGAUGGUUUAAAGUAUUAACAGUCAGAAAAAAAUGGUUAGUGUCAAUAAAAAUAAUUAAAAUGGUGUUCCUUCUAAAGAAACAAAAUGAAACUAUUAAUAAAACAUCAAUAGUAUGAUAGGAUGGCUCAAAGUGCAUGUGGAAGAAGAGGGAGGCAGUACAGGACCUGCUCUUUAUAUAUUCUCUUCUUAGCACAAUAACCUUUGCAACAGAUCAUCUCUUUUCCCAAAUGGGAUUUUCACUCACUCCUGGCUGUGCUGAAGAUUUGUAAAACUUUCACAUUUUUGUAAACUGUCUUGCAAUAUGCAAGGUAGCGCACUUUAAAAAAGUGUAUUAUGUUUCAGUAAUUCUCCACUACUCCAGAAGGAGGUUUGUAACUAAGGGGCUGGAAGUGACAUAGACUUUUUAAGCACUUUUUCCCCUUUUGUGGGCCCUGGGUAAGGGGGUGGUGGCACAUCAGGUUGUCCACCUGCAGUAACUGCUUGCUCAUAAGUUGGUAGUCCUGAAUCGUCAGUUCUGUGAGGAAGUGGAUUUAGAGAAAACUCUUCAUGUCUUCUGAAGAUGUUAGAUGAAUUAUGUCUUCUGUUUCUUACGUAAUCCAAGUACCUAAACAAAGUUAACAACAUUAUGAGUGGCAGCUUCCAUUUUAAUAAAGGAAGGAAAGCAUAUACAAUCUUAGUUGUAAAAUAAAAAAAUCCCCAAACUUACUUUGAAUGAUCAUAAAAACCAUGAGCCAAAUACUCUCUCCAGACCACAAGGUAGGAACAGUUCAGUAAUGGAAAAUGUAUAGGGGAGAAAAAGCACAGAAUCCUCUUAUAUUCCUUUCAGUUUUAGGAUGAAGGAGCAGGCCAGACUAGAGGACUGCUACAGCAGCAUUUCCCCCAACCUACUUGCUUUUACAUCUCCUGAAGUAGACUACAUGCCAUGAGGCAUACACCCUGCUUUUAAGAGCAAACAAAACACACUACACUUUCCAUUGCAGGCCUCAAACCAUUGAGGGGAUUCCACUUUUUAAUGAAAAUAUUUUGGAUCCCAGGAGAUACAAAAGAGAAGGUUGUCAGCCACACAAGUGCUGUUUUAUGUUUUUGUGGGAUUAAUUAACUUCAACAUAAUUAGUGCUAGUGCUGACCUAACUUUGCCUCCAGAAAAGAUAGAACUAGAACUCCCAUUGACUCCUCCGAGAAGUUAGACCAACCCACAGUGAUUUUAAAAUUUGACUCUUAAGCAGCCAAGGUUUGGUGGUGUUUUGUUUUUGUUUUAUUUUUUUUUUAAACAGUGAAAUUCCUUACCCUGGUGGUUGCCUUGAUUUGCAUCUACUUUUGCAGCAGUAGAAAAUAAGCAGUCCAAUUACGACCAACAUUACUCCAGCAGCAACUAGACCGAUGAGAAGUCCUGUAACAUUAAUCUUUUGUAGCGUAUCAUCAUCUGAAGAUAAAACAUUGGUUAUUUUCAGAUGAAUAACAACAUGAUGUUCUCUGCAUUUACAUACUCUGUGGUAUAGAGCAUACACUGUGAAAUACUAAUUUUGCUGUACUAUAAGGUAGUUCCUUUCUGUAGAUGUCUAAGCCUGCAGUGAGAAGCCCUUGUGCCUGUGCAGUACAACCGAAGUGUACCAUUCACAUUCAGCUUAAAGCAUAGGUGACCAGACAUUCCCCUUUUAUGUACAUGUAACUGUUGAGAUGUCUUCCCUCACCUGCCUUUCGAAUGUUACUUCAUGUACUUGUAUCUCUAAUCUGGUUGUAAAUCCUUCUUCAAGUCAUACUGACCUUCUUUCUAUAAAACAUUUGGCAUAAUGCACCUGAUUCAGACUGCUAUACUACUAUUAAACAAAAAAAAAUACGAAACAAAACCCAUGGAAAGCAGCCACAGUGUUACUGCAAAGUUGACAUAUUGUAUAAUAGAACAGAAAUGGACAACAACAUACAUGCUGUUUUACUCACACACUAAGAACAGAUCCACCCUAACGAGACACUUCAGAGAUUCAUUUGUGUGUUAGCUAAUGCACUAUACUUGCACAGUUCACUAUGAAAUUCAGUAAAAAGAUCAAAUUUGGUUUUGCUGACUGAAUGCAUGCUGUUAUUUUUAAGAAGGUACUAUCAUAACAAACACAAGAUACUGCAAUGUAAGCAAAGAACAAGAAGAGAAUAAAAAGAUGACUUACCUGUUUUUAUUUUAGGGCCUUUACUUGAAUACUCUUUCCAAAAAUCCAUCUAUAAAAUUUCAAAGGAUCACAUUUAUAUGAGAUACAUAACUGUCCGGCUUAUUAACAUUUUUUUUUUGAAUAUGGUACUGUAGGCAAAAUUUAACCAUGGCACAGACAGGAGCAACUCUACCUGAUGGGUUUGUAGUUAUUUGUCAUCAGGUGUUUUACUCAUACAUUCAAGUUUGCAUAAAAAUUAUAAUUUCACAGAAACACAGAGCAUGCUUAGUGAAAGAGAAAAGAUCUCAAUGCAUUCAACUGUUCACUAUUACAUCAUAUAGAGAGAUUUCUUCCUGAUUACAGUAGCAGUUAGUGUAUAUUAUAACACCAAAAAAUGCUUACAGUUAAUCUUUGGAAUUCCCUACAGAAGAGUAUUAAUGAGGCAAAUAGUCAGGUAAUUAAGAAUCAUACAUCUGCAUGAACAGUAUCUGAAUUCACAUCAACUAGGAAAAUUAACAGGAUUUAUUUAAGAGAAAAACUUUUACGUUGCAUGAUUGUUGAGUAUUAAAUAUGCUUAGCUAUAAUCUUCACUUUAUUGCUAUCCAGCAAAAGAUUCCAGGAAGAUUCUGACACAAGUCUCCUAGUUUUCCUAGGGAAAUGCUAGCAAUUGCAAACCCGUUGCUGUUUCCAACUUCGAAAUAGGUGUGUAUUCCCUGCUCUUUCUGACAGUGCAGAGCAUACCUAGGGUCAUGAAGAGAUUAGUGCUUCAGGCAGCAAGAGCCAUUCUUCAGGCAACCAUCACGUUCCACUACUGGAACUAAAAGAUUUCCUGUGUAUUUUCGUCUCUUUCAUACCAGCUUUCUUCCAGCCAUAUAAAGGUAGCAGUUUAGAAGAUGAUGCUACAGGAAUCCUCAACAGCUGAACUGUAGAUUUACUACUACCUACUACUGUCUUCUAAAAGAUUUCUUUGGCAUGACAGGGGCAUGAGGUCAGCCAAUUAACAAGCACGACACAGGGAAUACAUUGAAACUGCAUGUUGAGAAGUUUCUAAGAAGUUACCAAGUAAAAUACUGAGAUUCUGAAAACGUAUAUGGGUGUAUCUGUAAGUGGUGCUUUUGGAGUUCGGUUUAUAUUUAUGAUUGCCAAACUGCAGCCCUUAUCUGAAGUCUUUAAGAGUACUGUAUUUAGCACAGUAGCACCAGCUAAUUGGGGCCUCUGCUUUUACUAUAAAAUAAACAUCUGUUUCCUGAAGGGGUGCAGCGUUUAAAUACAGUAAUCAUUUAUUCAGUAACCUUCAGUAUACAAAAUUCAUUUUGAACAAUUACCGUUUUAUCAGAGUCUUCAAAAAUUUCUCUUGCUUCUUCAUAAUUGCACAGCUCUUCAUAACACUCCCUUUCCAGGUUAUCUGGUGUGAAUGCUUCAAAAUCAAAUCUGUUAUUCAGAAGAUGUCUUCCGAUGAAUAAAUUGGCAUCCUUUUCUGAUGUGAACACUAAGAAAAAAAUCAAGUUGAUUUAAAUCUAGUUAUGAAAGCUAAAUCUGGUAUUUUUGAAGAAUGGUGAAUAUCCCAAAGAAGUGUAUUAAGUUCACUUCUUCCCCUAGCAUCUCUCCACCACAUACAAUAUAAGGAAACAUCAAGCUCUCCUCCUAAAAUGUCUUCUUUGCUGCUAACUGUUCUAACUAUGCAAUACAAAAUAGACGUAUUUUCCUUUCUCGUAAAGCGUUUCAGCUAUUCCUUAUACUGGCCAAGAGCAUUUGUUUCUCAUGACAGCUGUUGGGAGUUCAAGUUUUGGUAUUAUCCCUUCUGGGAUGUGGGUAUAAUUUUUUUGCUGGAACUCUUAAGAACAAAGUAAUUGUCACAUAAAACAGAAAUCCAAUCAAAUCCAGACAAAGCAAAACGUUGAUCUAUUGGAAAAAAAAAUCUGUUCUUUGUAAAGAAUCCUCAACAUACAUUCCUUUCACAUAUUCUGGUAUCUGAGUUACAAAUUUUGUUUACAGAAUUUGAGUUUAAAAUAAUGACAGUGGAGUCCCAUUCAUUUUGCAUUUGUUCUUCUUUCACAGUUGUGAUAAUGUCUAAUGACUGAAGAAAGUUUUAUGUAAAGGCUGGCAUAUUGCCAUAUUUAUUUGUUUUAAGUUAGCCUGUGAUAGGAAUGUUACUGACAGUAGACACUUCUGAAGACAUUUAAUUCUUUUCUUCUUUUGUGCUUAUUACAAGGUGUAUAAAGAGCAUAGAGUAAGUUGUGAGGUGAGAUUUCAGAAGGUUAGUGAGAUUAUAGAAGACUUCAGAAUACAGGAAUGCAGUUUCUUGCCAGGCAUUUCCCAUAGUCAAGUUUUAGCCUGUUCUUGCUACAGCUUUUUGUAAAGAAAUCAUCUUUAUAUGACAGAACUAGUUUUUUGGCUUGGCUUUCAGUGAAGGCCUAAUCUGUACUCCAAGAAAUUCAGACUAUUUGGUUAAGCAAGAUGACUGGAGGAUUAUUUCUGCAAGUGUAAUGCAGAAACAGCUUUGUUGCAUACCAAGCCAGACAGCUAAAAAAAGAGAUGAGACUCAGAAUGAAGAUAUUCAACUACAAAUUAGUUCUGUGCUCUUGGUAGCUUGUAUGUCUAGAUUAUCACAUCAUUCAGGAAUUUUUACCCUAGUAAUUACUGUUAGGUUUUGCAGUGGCAUCUGAAAAUAUUUUGCCCUCUAAAAACUCUUAUGAAAACUGCAAUGUGACUUGUAUAUUGGUUGUUUAUGCCUUUAAUAAUACGGUAGAAUACUUCAAGGAGCCACAUGUAUGCACACAUUUGUGUAAGGGGGAAAUCUGUUAUUCUAAAGUAGUUAGAAGAAAAUCUAAGCUUAACAUAUUUAUGCUGUAUCUAAGAGUAACUAGACAGAAGGACUUCAUCCAAAAUAUACAAGUGGAAAAGCAAAAGAAUUACAUGGAAAGAAGUAUUAUCAAUAGCUUGGUUCAGUACAAAUCACAUCAGAGUUAACUUCAGUCUUCUGAAACAAAUCUUUAGUAGUGCUUCAUUUGUUACCAUUUAAGUAGUAUUACCUGUACUGAAUUAAAAAUAUUUAACCUAAAUAAGAUAAUGCCUGUAUUUUAAUUAAUGUGAAGUGCAGAAGCAGGCUGUCUGGAGCCCAGUGUCAAACCUAAGACCACUAAUUCCUAGUCCUAGCCUGGGUAGGGACACAUGUUCCUUCUCUCUGAUUCAGAGUCCUUAUCCAUUUAUCUGCACUUUUCUCACUUUGCAGGACAUAGUCAAAGUGCACCUGUCCCUACCUCCAAGUAACAUACAACAUAGUGGUUAAGAUAGUAUUUGGAGGGUGAAACAGGUGAAUUUGAAUCCUCUGCCAUCCCUGAGGGGAACUAAAUUCAGUUCUACAGUCCUUAGGCCAUGGCUGAACAAGAUGGUAAAUCCAGUUUUAGGAUGUGCCUAGCUUUUCAUUAAAAACACAUCCACACAGAGUGCUAAAUAAAGUCCCUCUGCUGGUAAAAGAUGUUCAGAAAAUGGUGAAGGGGUAUCCUUUCAAUGCAGGUGCCCUGUACUCUUGGCAAGUGGUCUGCUUGUUAAAUUAUUGGAUGAAAGAGUUGGGGCCCCCUUUUCCACGUCUGUCUUUAAAUAAAGAGUGAUCCAAGGCUAUCAUCAGGUGAAGCUUCUACAGCGGGUUCAGGGAAUACAAAAGGAAGAGGCAGCAUGGCAACAGUCAAUUUAAGGCCCCAGAGCAAUACUGAUUUUAAAAAAUAACCUGUCUUAAGCGAUUUUCUGCUGGCCAUGUUUCUGCUCAACAGACUGCCCCGAAGCAGCUCCUUGUUCAAUAUGAUUUUAAGUCCCUUUUAAGGUUUCAGCAUUCCUUAUCCAGUGAGGAGAUGGGACAGCUAACUUACAAAUGCCUUUGUGAAGCCAUGAUGCUUAAAAGUAUCACACUGCUCAGCAUCAGAGGGCUUCAUUCCUUCUUGGGGACUUCAUGUGGUUUUACCUCCAUUCCUCUUCCGACUCCUUCCAAAGUGGAGAAUUGCAAUAGUAGCACUGUAUCUGUCUUUCAAGGUGUUGUAAGGACAUUUGAGAUUUAUAUACUUUCUGAAUACCAGAAAACAAGCAAAUAAACCCUUUCAAAUGCAAAUCAA
Molecule: long non-coding RNA, 18261 nt
Organism: Dromaius novaehollandiae (emu)
Lineage: Eukaryota; Metazoa; Chordata; Aves; Casuariiformes; Dromaiidae
Exons: 4
Source: RefSeq, a predicted model, not a curated record